Molecule: ribosomal RNA, 676 nt
Filed under: Alexandrium tamutum
Lineage: Eukaryota; Dinophyceae; Gonyaulacales; Pyrocystaceae
Description: LSU rRNA
Rfam family: Eukaryotic large subunit ribosomal RNA
Source: RNAcentral
UAAGUAGGCGGUGGAAAAUGAACCAAAUGGGAUUCCUUAAGUAAUUGCGAAUGAACAAGGAAAUGCUCAGCUUGAAAAAUGGGGCCUUCGGCUUUGAAUUGUAAUUUUGAAAUGUAUUGCCAAUGGAGGCGCAGGUGCAAGCCUAUUGAAAGAAAGCGUCAAUGAGGGUGAGAUUCCUUUUUGUCAUUUGCAGUCCUCCGUGCACGGUAUAUAUUUGACGAGUCACACUCCUCGGCAUUGGAAUGCAAAGUGGGUGGUAAAUUCCAUGUAAAGGUAAAUAUAUUAUUGAGACUGAUAGCAAACAAGUACCAUGAGGGAAAUAUGAAAAGGACUUUGAAAAGAGAAUUAAAAGAGUCUGCAUUUGCUGAACAGAAAGCAAACAGAAUUGAUCUUGCCUGGUGAGAUUGUUGCGUCUACUUCUGCAUUUCUAUGUUGGAUGUGGGUGCGAUGGUUCUUGCCUUGAAUGUCAGCUUCUUUUUCUGCAAAUCAUUACCCUUGCACAUGAAUGGUAAUUUGCCUGCGGGUAUUGGAAUGCAUGUGUUUGCCAUGAUUUGUGAUUUGAUACAUGUGUCUGGUGGUACUUGUGUGUGUUCCUUUGUCAAAGGGGAAGGUUUGCUUCCUUGAGCACCUUAAGCCCUUACACAAAUGUGCUGGCAAAAUGUUUCUGCUUGACCCG